AAUUUGUUGUGGCUAACGUUAGCUUGGCGGCUAACGUUAGCUAGGCUAGAGGUUGCUAGAUGUUCCUAUGUAACGUUAUACGCCCAUCCAUCCAACUGGACCAUCCACCCUACUUCGGUUUUUGCCUUGAGUAACCUUCUGUCUUAUGUAACCAUACCAAAGGCUGCAAUCCACUCCCAGUUAAGCGGGGUCCGUUCAGGCCUCCGUCAGCUCCACAAUGCCUUGGGGGAUGUGAUGGACAUCCAGAACUCCCUGCCCGGUAGAAGUCAGCAAUGACUGGAGGCAAAACAUUAACACCAUUGAGAACCUGAAGUACGUAAAAUAUGCUGGGACGCAACAUCAGCGGAGGCUCCUCAGAAGAGGAAGACAAUACUGCUUGGUGACCUACAGAUUAUUUUUGGAGAUGGUUAUCGGUGCGGAGAAGCUAGGCACAAGACACUGAAUUCCCUGAAAACAUUUCCAGCGCCUACUUCAGUCCAAGUCAAGCACUGGUCUAACUGAAUGUGGAUGUUGUGUUGGCUGAAUGUUCCAGGCACGCUCCAGAAUGUUCUUCUGCUGGUGAACCUUGUCUUGUGUUGGGCAAUGGCAGCUGGUCUGGCAGAAGUUCAUGAGCUCCAUGACCUUGGACUCAUAGACUUUGGCUCUUGCCAGCCCCAUGCAGUCAACCCCAUGCAGUCUUUUCCUCUUCCGAGUCAGAUGAUGUUGAGCUUGAGUUUUUUCCCGGAUGAAAGAUUUCAUCCAAUGGGUCUACAGAAUCUGUACUUCUAAAGCAGAAGCACCAGGAUUAGUCUGUAGGACAUACACUAGUCAGUGAUUAGGCAAUAUUUUACUACUUUGUCCCCAUGAAUACACACUCCGACAAGCUACUAUCUCCACCCUUCACCCUUGUGUCAAUAGAUCAUGCAUACUAACCUUCACACACAGUACCCACUUCCAACAGACACCAGUCACCCACACCAUCCCCUCUUCACGAAGAACUAUGCUUUUCUCCGAUUUACACUUCAAGCUUUGCAUAAACAAUCAAUUAAUGCUGCAAUAUGUAACUUUUUGGGUGACUCACCAAAUUCACAUAAUUUGUUUUAACUAGGCAAGUCAGUUAAGAACAAAAUCAAAUUUGUAAUGAUGGCCAACAGUGGGUUAACUGCCUUGUUCAGGGGCAGAACGACAGAUUUCUAUCUUGUCAGCUUGGGGAUUCGAUCCAGCAACCUAUCAAUUACUGGCCCAAUUCUCUAACCACUAGGCUACCUGCCACCCCGAAAAUGUGAGUUAUAGAUCUGUCAUUCUCAUUGAAAGCAAGUCUAACAAGCGGUAGAUAAACUCUGCAGAAAAAGAAACGUCCUCUCACUGUCAACUGCGUUUAUUUUCAGCAAACUUAACAUGUGUAAAUAUUUGUAAGGACAUAACAAGAUUCAACAACUGAGACGUAAACUGAACAAGUUCCACAGACAUGUGACUAACAGAAAUUGAAUAAUGCAUUUCCACCAGAGCUGUUGCCAGAGAAUUUAAUGUUCAUUUCUCUACCAUAAGUCACCUCCAACGUCGUUUUAGACAAUUUGUCAGUAUGUCCAACUGGCCUCACAACCGCAGACCACGUAUAACCAAGGCAGCCCAGGACUUCCACAUCCGGCUUCUUCACCUGUGGGAUCAUCUGACCAGCCACCCAGACAGCUGAUGAGUCUGAAGAGUAUUUCUGUCUGUAAUAAAGCGCAUUUGUGGGGAAAAAUGUAUUCUGUUUGCCUGGGCAAUGUCCCCCUUUGAAAUCUCAAGAUUAUGGCUUAAUGAAUUUAUUUCAAUUGACUGAUUUCGUUAUAUAAACUGUAACUCGUUGAAAUUGUUGCGUUAGCUUGCAUUAGCUUGCA
RNAcentral lists this long non-coding RNA (1859 nucleotides) under Salmo salar (Atlantic salmon). RNAcentral describes it as "lncRNA (ENSSSAG00000115355.1)". The record is from RNAcentral. Lineage: Eukaryota; Metazoa; Chordata; Actinopteri; Salmoniformes; Salmonidae.